This 305-nucleotide ribosomal RNA is filed under the name uncultured bacterium. RNAcentral describes it as "partial 16S ribosomal RNA". It matches the Rfam family "Bacterial small subunit ribosomal RNA", at positions 508 to 807 of the family's 1533-position model. The record is from RNAcentral.
ACAGCAGCCGCCGCGGGAAUACGAAGGGUGCAAGCGUUAAUCGGAAUUACUGGGCGUAAAGCGUGCGUAGGCGGUGAGUUAAGUCUGCUGUGAAAUCCCCGGGCUCAACCUGGGAAUGGCAGUGGAUACUGGCUCGCUAGAGUGUGUCAGAGGAUGGUGGAAUUCCCGGUGUAGCGGUGAAAUGCGUAGAGAUCGGGAGGAACAUCAGUGGCGAAGGCGGCCAUCUGGGACAACACUGACGCUGAGGCACGAAAGCGUGGGGAGCAAACAGGAUUAGAUACCCGCGUAGUCCCUGUCUCUUAUAC